CUUUUAGCAGCUUGACAGCCCUCGAUCACUCUUUGUUGCGUGGAAAAGAGCAGCAUGAACAUCCUUCAGAAAUGCGUUGGACCAGCAUGAGGUGCAAUUAAGGAAAGCCGUUAAAGCUCAGAUCUGCUGCGUGGUUUGUGGCUUUUCACUCUGGAGGUGUUUGGCGAGGUCCGUUCCAGACUGGAGUCUGUUUGAGUUUCCACACAGUUCAGAGACGCCAACGGACGACGCUCCCUGUGUACAUGUGUUGCUUGGAAACCAGCGCACUGGGACCGUGUAGUGCAACACACAGAGGCACUGGAUGCAGUACGUACAG
This is a non-coding RNA of Pimephales promelas (fathead minnow), 316 nucleotides long. The record is from RefSeq and is a predicted model, not a curated record. Lineage: Eukaryota; Metazoa; Chordata; Actinopteri; Cypriniformes; Leuciscidae.